GAAAUCCCCGGGCUCAACCUGGGAGCUGCAUUCGAAACUGGCAGGCUAGAGUCUUAUAGAGGGGGGUAGAAUUCCAGGUGUAGCGGUGAAAUGCGUAGAGAUCUGGAGGAAUACCGGUGGCGAAGGCGGCCCUCUGGACAAAAACUGACGCUCAGGUGAAAAGCGUGGGGAGCAAACAGGAUUAGAU
This 187-nucleotide ribosomal RNA is filed under the name Erwinia persicina. RNAcentral's name for it is "partial 16S ribosomal RNA". It matches the Rfam family "Bacterial small subunit ribosomal RNA", at positions 596 to 783 of the family's 1533-position model. The record is from RNAcentral. Lineage: Bacteria; Pseudomonadati; Pseudomonadota; Gammaproteobacteria; Enterobacterales; Erwiniaceae.